GCUAGCGGUACGCUUGCGGUACGAUAUCAAGACAAGUUGAUUAUUAUUGUGUUAUUAUAAUAGGUAAUUGUAGAAAAUAGUGUUAAAAUGAGUGUGUGUAGGACUUGCUUAUCUAAAGACAAUCUUAAUAACAUAUUUUCGGAUAAGAAUCUUAUAAGUUUACAUACAAAAAACCUUUUUUUAGUUUGCGGCGUCAAGAUUGAGGAAAACGAUGGUUUGUCGCAGUUAAUGUGUAAAUCGUGUCUAAAUAUAGUUAAAAGUGCAUUAAAACUAAGAGAAUUAAGCGCAAAAUCCGAAGAAAUACUCAAAAAAACAAUUAAAAUUGAAUCAGAAUCAGAAAUUGAACCGCAUUCAACAAAAAUCGACACCAAACACAAAAAUAAAAAAGAUAUCCAAAAUUCAAAUAAAGAACUGCAGAGAAAAAUAAAAUGGCCAGAGUGUACAGCAAAAGUUUGCACAAAAAGAAGUUUUGAUGCCAAUAAUGAUGAUGACUUUAAAGAUGAAUUUUCAGUCAGAAUUGAAGAUUUUGAGUCAAGUAAUGAUUCAGAUUUUAUGAAUAACUUUUUGAUUGAUGAUUUAGAAUCUAUAAACAGUGAAAAUGAGCAAAAAGUAUGUAUAGAAGACUAUGAGUCGAGCGAUAGUCUUGAUGAGGAUUUUAAAAAUAUUAUUAAAAAGGAUAAUAAAAUUAAUUGGGAUGUCAAAGAAAAGGGUUAUUAGAGAAGGGGAGGAGGAAACUGUUGUGUAAGCAGCAAGAUGCUAAGCUGUUGUCUUUGGCCGCAGCUCCCUACAACAGUGAGGGUCCUAUCAGAUGUACCUUAUGUAGCAAAGAGUUGAAGAAUCUGCAGAAUUUCAAAUGCCACGCCAAAACACAUUUUGAACCACAAAAUACUUGUGAGGACUGUGGCAGAAAAUUUGUGAACCCCAGUCAUAUGAGAUACCACCAGCAAAGGGUGCAUGGUAAGACGAAACGGCUAGCCUGUUCCCAUUGCAACUACAGAGCUGUCGACCCUAUGGCUUUGAGGAACCACGUACGCGCAGAACAUACUGGCGAGAGACCUUUUAUAUGUGACGUAUGCGGCGAAAACUUUCGUAUGAGAGCUAACAUCGCCCAGCAUAUGAGAAUACACGGCGGAGUCAAGAACUUACAGUGUGAGCGCUGUCCUGCAAUGUUCCGAAGUCGGUCAGAACUGACUGGACAUCAGAAUCGAGUACAUUAUAUGAUAUACACGUACCUAUGUUACUUGUGCACGGAAACUUACAAAAAGCUGGAUUCUGUGAAAAAACAUCUUCUGAACAUACAUGGCGUUCCCAGAGAACAACAGUUACCUAUUAAAUGUAUUAAAAGGCGCCGAAGAAGCUGUGACAAGAGUGACUGAAGCUGAAUGAAUAAGCUACAUUUAAAUAAAAAGUUGGAUUCUGUUCAUAACUU
RNA transcript from Helicoverpa armigera (cotton bollworm), 1429 nucleotides. RefSeq lists it as uncharacterized. NCBI's taxonomy places the organism in Eukaryota, Metazoa, Arthropoda, Insecta, Lepidoptera, Noctuidae. The record is from RefSeq and is a predicted model, not a curated record. The transcript has 8 exons.